RNAcentral lists this ribosomal RNA (406 nucleotides) under uncultured bacterium. RNAcentral describes it as "partial 16S ribosomal RNA". It matches the Rfam family "Bacterial small subunit ribosomal RNA", at positions 30 to 526 of the family's 1533-position model. The record is from RNAcentral.
AUUGAACGCUGGUGGCAGGCCUAACACAUGCAAGUCGAACGAGUGGCGGACGGGUGAGUAAUGUCUGGGAAACUGCCUGAUGGAGGGGGAUAACUACUGGAAACGGUAGCUAAUACCGCAUACCAUCGGAUGUGCCCAGAUGGGAUUAGCUAGUUGGUGGGGUAAAGGCUCACCUAGGCGACGAUCCCUAGCUGGUCUGAGAGGAUGACCAGCCACACUGGAACUGAGACACGGUCCAGACUCCGACGGGAGGAAGCAGUGGGGAAUAUUGCACAAUGGGCGCAAGCCUGAUGCAGCCAGGCCGCGUGUAUGAAGAAGGCCUUCGGGUUGUAAAGUACUUUCAGCGGGGAGGCGUUACCCGCAGAAGAAGCACCGGCUAACUCCGUGCCAGCAGCCGCGGUAAUAC